Molecule: ribosomal RNA, 300 nt
Filed under: Triticum aestivum (bread wheat)
Lineage: Eukaryota; Viridiplantae; Streptophyta; Magnoliopsida; Poales; Poaceae
Description: partial small subunit ribosomal RNA
Source: RNAcentral
AUGCGGAUCGGGUCAGAGACGGGACUUGGAGAAAACAAGGCCGAUGAGCGCUGCGGAUUUUGGCUAUUUGGAGGAGAACAGCUACAAAUCUGUCUACCUGGGAGUGCCUUUAGUCAGGAGAUGCCAGGGGCAAGCUGGAGUGGGCAGUGGAAAAGCUGGAGGAGAAAGCAAGAAGCCCACCUAUGUUGCUAUGGCCGGAUCCUGGCUGAGGCGCGAAAGCUCCUGUUAGACCUGUUCGAUGGGCUUAUGAAGCUUGUAGCUUCCUCUUUGGUUUUUGGUUUUAGAGCUUUUGUGCUCUAG